RNAcentral lists this ribosomal RNA (562 nucleotides) under Limosilactobacillus reuteri. RNAcentral describes it as "bacterial SSU rRNA". It matches the Rfam family "Bacterial small subunit ribosomal RNA", at positions 335 to 873 of the family's 1533-position model. Lineage: Bacteria; Bacillati; Bacillota; Bacilli; Lactobacillales; Lactobacillaceae. The record is from RNAcentral.
UCCUUACGGGGGGGGGAGCAGUAGGGAAUCUUCCACAAUGGGCGCAAGCCUGAUGGAGCAACACCGCGUGAGUGAAGAAGGGUUUCGGCUCGUAAAGCUCUGUUGUUGGAGAAGAACGUGCGUGAGAGUAACUGUUCACGCAGUGACGGUAUCCAACCAGAAAGUCACGGCUAACUACGUGCCAGCAGCCGCGGUAAUACGUAGGUGGCAAGCGUUAUCCGGAUUUAUUGGGCGUAAAGCGAGCGCAGGCGGUUGCUUAGGUCUGAUGUGAAAGCCUUCGGCUUAACCGAAGAAGUGCAUCGGAAACCGGGCGACUUGAGUGCAGAAGAGGACAGUGGAACUCCAUGUGUAGCGGUGGAAUGCGUAGAUAUAUGGAAGAACACCAGUGGCGAAGGCGGCUGUCUGGUCUGCAACUGACGCUGAGGCUCGAAAGCAUGGGUAGCGAACAGGAUUAGAUACCCUGGUAGUCCAUGCCGUAAACGAUGAGUGCUAGGUGUUGGAGGGUUUCCGCCCUUCAGUGCCGGAGCUAACGCAUUAAGCACUCCGCCUUGGAGUCAAACCA